AACAUUUUUUUUAAAGAAAGGAACACCUGAUUGGUGGUGUUGCUCUUAUAUCAAUCAGGGGCAAAGCAGACAUGCAGUCCUUAGUUCAUCCUGAUGUCUGUGUUGGUGGCCAGAGCUGUUUCAUGUCUGAGGCAAAUUU
This is a non-coding RNA of Myotis lucifugus (little brown bat), 139 nucleotides long. Lineage: Eukaryota; Metazoa; Chordata; Mammalia; Chiroptera; Vespertilionidae. The record is from Rfam.